This 497-nucleotide ribosomal RNA is filed under the name uncultured bacterium. RNAcentral's name for it is "partial 16S ribosomal RNA". It matches the Rfam family "Bacterial small subunit ribosomal RNA", at positions 28 to 507 of the family's 1533-position model. The record is from RNAcentral.
GAUGAACGCUGGCGGCGUGCCUAAUACAUGCAAGUCGAGCGAACGGACGAGAAGCUUGCUUCUCUGAUGUUAGCGGCGGACGGGUGAGUAACACGUGGAUAACCUACCUAUAAGACUGGGAUAACUUCGGGAAACCGGAACUAAUACCGGAUGAUAUUCUGAACCGCAUGGUUCAAAAGUGAAAGACGGUCUUGCUGUCACGUAUAGAUGGAUCCGCGCUGCAUUAGCUAGUUGGUAAGGUAACGGCUUACCAAGGCAACGAUGCAUAGCCGACCUGAGAGGGUGAUCGGCCACACUGGAACUGGGACACGGUCCAGACUCCUACGGGAGGCAGCAGUAGGGAAUCUUACGCAAAGGGCGAAAGCCUGACGGAGCAACGCCGCGUGAGUGAUGACGGUCUUCGGAUCGUAAAACUCUGUUAUUAGGGAAGAACAUAUGUGUAAGUAACUGUGCACAUCUUGACGGUACCUAAUCAGAAAGCCACGGCUAACUACGUG